CCUUCGGGGGACAGCAGUGAGGAAUAUUGGUCAAUGGGCGCGAGCCUGAACCAGCGAAGUCGCGUGAGGGAUGAAGGUUCUAUGGAUCGUAAACCUCUUUUAUAAGGGAAUAAAGUGUGGGACGUGUCCUAUUUUGUAUGUACCUUAUGAAUAAGGAUCGGCUAAAUCCGUGCCAGCAGCCGCGGUAAUACGGAGGAUCCGAGCGUUAUCCGGAUUUAUUGGGUUGAAAGGGUGCGUAGGCGGCCUUGUAAGUCAGCGGUGAAAGUCUGUGGCUCAACCAUAGAAUUGCCGUUGAAACUGGGGGGCUUGAGUAUGUUUGAGGCAGGCGGAAUGCGUGGUGUAGCGGUGAAAUGCUUAGAUAUCUCGAAGAACCCCGAUUGCGAAGGCAGCCUGCCAAGCCAUGACUGACGCUGAUGCACGAAAGCGUGGGGAUCAAACAGGAUUAGAUACCCGAGUAGUC
This 460-nucleotide ribosomal RNA is filed under the name uncultured bacterium. RNAcentral describes it as "partial 16S ribosomal RNA". It matches the Rfam family "Bacterial small subunit ribosomal RNA", at positions 338 to 795 of the family's 1533-position model. The record is from RNAcentral.